CCUACGGGAGGCAGCAGUGGGGAAUUUUGCGCAAUGGGGGCAACCCUGACGCAGCAACGCCGCGUGAGUGAUGAAGGCCUUCGGGUCGUAAAGCUCUGUCAGAGGGGAAGAAAUGCAGGUGGUGAACAACCAUUCUGUUUGACGGUACCCUCAAAGGAAGCACCGGCUAACUCCGUGCCAGCAGCCGCGGUAAUACGGAGGGUGCGAGCGUUGUUCGGAAUUAUUGGGCGUAAAGCGCGUGUAGGCGGUUUGUUAAGUCUGAGGUGAAAGCCCCGGGCUCAACCUGGGAAGUGCAUUGGAUACUGGCAGACUUGAGUACGGGAGAGGAGAGUGGAAUUCCCGGUGUAGGGGUGAAAUGCGUAGAUAUCGGGAGGAACACCAGUGGCGAAGGCGGCUUUCUAGACCACUCCUGACGCUGAGGCGCGAAAGCGUGGGGAGCGAACGGGAUUAGAUACCCCUGUAGU
This 464-nucleotide ribosomal RNA is filed under the name uncultured Geobacteraceae bacterium. Its description in RNAcentral is "partial 16S ribosomal RNA". It matches the Rfam family "Bacterial small subunit ribosomal RNA", at positions 338 to 794 of the family's 1533-position model. Lineage: Bacteria; Pseudomonadati; Thermodesulfobacteriota; Desulfuromonadia; Geobacterales; Geobacteraceae. The record is from RNAcentral.